Long non-coding RNA from Cydia splendana, 2401 nucleotides. RefSeq lists it as uncharacterized. The record is from RefSeq and is a predicted model, not a curated record. The transcript is spliced from 3 exons. Lineage: Eukaryota; Metazoa; Arthropoda; Insecta; Lepidoptera; Tortricidae.
ACAUUCACUGCCCCCGACGCACAUGUGCGUCCACUGUCAUACAAGUUUGUUCCUAGGCCACGCCCCCUGGCAGUGAAUGCGUUAACAUAUUGGAUUGAUUACUCGUAAGUGGCUUUGAGCUAUGCAUUAUCGUCACUCUUCUAUAAAUUUCUGGGAGAAGCGUUUUCAUCUCACAUGUUAGGACAGGUAGCCGCUAAACAUCGAAGCACACGUAUUUACUUGUGGGUAAUCAGAUUUUACUAAUAUUCGGAAAUUACGACUUCCAAUAAAACAUUACAACUCUUACACGAAUAGCGCUGGGAUUAAAUGAAAUGCUUCAAUGUCGACAAUAUAGGUAUCAGGCAUUUUGCGCCACGGCGAAUCAUUUAGAAUUUUAAGUCAUUAUGGCAACUUUGUUGUUAGUAUUUUUCUUUCGAAUUUUUGUGUUGGCAACUUUGUUGUUAGUAUUUUUCUUUCAAAUUUUUGUGUUCGACGUAAUAUAAAUGUAAUAAUAAUCACAUGUUAAAAUUACAAUUUCAUAGAAAUUUUUUUAAUUGUAGAUGUGUAUAACAUAUACCUUCAAAAUGUAAUAAUUCAAAAAGUACAAUAUGUAACGUAGGUAUGCCUUUAUUGUUUAAUGCUUUCAUUACAUUCAAAACUGUGAUGACUAUUGGUAUUUUUUUAGAGAUUCGUUAUAUAAGCAUAGUAAUGUAGGUACUUACAUUUAUAUAUCCUUCACCAUUUCAUCCUAAAAUAUGUCAUGAUCAUGUAAAAAGUAUCAUUUCGGAUCUCAUGUAUUAUUUAAAUAUGUACGAGUAGAAUGAUUUUCCUGUACAGUUAUUAUUCUUACUUAUUAUCAAUUCCUAAAUUUAAAUUUGUCUGUGUUUAUUAAACAUAUUAUCCCAUUUAGUAUGGUAGAUACCUUAACAGGUUUAUUCGUCGUGUUCGAUGUAUGAUUAAUACGGAAUUAUGUGUUUGCUGUACUGAAAGGGUUAAUUUAAUAUUUAAUUACAUGUCAUUCAAACAAAAAAAAGUAUUUACUAUAAAUUAUUUUACUGAAAUCUAUCUAUACUAGCAUCUCGGAAAUUCUAGUGUAGGCAACAAAAAAAUGCUUAAAAACAGUGUCUGUGACGCAUGUGUGAAAGCACAAACAAAUAACCAAACUAAAAUAGAUGAUACCUUAACAGGUUUAUUCGUCGUGUUCGAUGUAUGAUUAAUACGGAAUUAUGUGUUUGCUGUACUGAAAGGGUUAAUUUAAUAUUUAAUUACAUGUCAUUCAAACAAAAAAAAGUAUUUACUAUAAAUUAUUUUACUGAAAUCUAUCUAUACUAGCAUCUCGGAAAUUCUAGUGUAUGCAACAAAAAAAUGCUUAAAAACAGUGUCUGUGACGCAUGUGUGAAAGCACAAACAAAUAACCAAACUAAAAUAGAUGUGUGAAGUCGAAUAAGACUGUCGCAAGCUUCGCACGUUUUUACUUAAUUAUGUUGUCUAUGAUAAAAUCUAUAAGUAAACGUAAGCUAUCAAGCACAUUGCAGUAGUUUCUUCUUCUAUGCUUGCCAUAGAACAAGUUUAUCAAGAGCAAGAGCAAGAACUCUUAUUGUUAUCAAGCAGAAACGUCUGCGAGCGAAAAUAAGUUUUACUCUUGUUUAUUUAUCUAAUUUUGCUGCUGCUGGACAGCUGUGUUUGGCAUUUGUUUCUGUUGGACAGAAAUGGAAAAGUAUGAUCUUUCAUUAAUUAUCACGUCAAUUGUACAAACAUUUUUUUAAACUUUUUUCUUAUACAUGUAAUGCACUGACAAUUUAGGUUGUGAUAGCAGCAAUACAGUAAUUUUAAUUUAGUCUUAUAUUUGAUUGUGUGCAAUUAUAGUCCAUUAUGGUUUGCGAAUAGGCGUAAGUUAUUGAUUAUUAUUUGUAAACUUAUAACGCCCUUAACGAAUAAUAUUCGUUUGUUUUAAUGUAGCCGAGAAUGUUUUAUAUUUUUUAUUUCAGAAUAGUAUGAAUUUGAUGGGCGUAUCAUAUUGAAGUUUCGCUCCGUAAGACAUAUAUUUUGUUCAUACUUAUUUGCUAUAUUUUCGUUCCAAAAACCUUAUUUUCGUUUAACCGAAUUUAUUUUUGUUCUAAUGACAUGUAAAUAGUUUAGUUAAGUAUUUAUUUAAGCCUACUAAGGCACUUAAAGUAGGUUUUAAUAUGUUUGUAAUGUUUGUAUUUGUUAAAAUAUCUCAUAGAUAUUCAGUUUAUUUUCACCUCGUGUUGUACAUGAUCUAAUUCGAUACACAUAAUGAUGUAGGUAUAUUAUUAUGCAACAGUGCAACACUUAUAAUAUUAAUAUGUGAAUUUUGUAGUCAAUAUGAAAUUUGUCAAACAGCAUGGUUUCAAUAUUCAUAGAGUCCUGUGUGAAAAGAGAAGAGUCGUGAAAUGUAUGG